AUUGAACGCUGGCGGCAUGCCUUACACAUGCAAGUCGAACGGUAACGGGCCUUCGGGUGCCGACGAGUGGCGAACGGGUGAGUAAUGCAUCGGAACGUACCUUUCAGUGGGGGAUAACGUAGCGAAAGUUACGCUAAUACCGCAUAUUCUGUGAGCAGGAAAGCAGGGGAUCGCAAGACCUUGCGCUGAUUGAGCGGCCGAUGUCAGAUUAGCUAGUUGGUGAGGUAAAGGCUCACCAAGGCGACGAUCUGUAGCGGGUCUGAGAGGAUGAUCCGCCACACUGGAACUGAGACACGGUCCAGACUCCUACGGGAGGCAGCAGUGGGGAAUUUUGGACAAUGGGGGCAACCCUGAUCCAGCCAUGCCGCGUGAGUGAAGAAAGGCCUUCGGGUUGUAAAGCUCUUUCGGCCGGGAAGAAAUCGCAUGGGUUAAUACCCUGUGCGGAUGACGGUACCGGCAUAAGAAGCACCGGCUAACUACGUG
Molecule: ribosomal RNA, 483 nt
Filed under: uncultured bacterium
Lineage: Bacteria
Description: bacterial SSU rRNA
Rfam family: Bacterial small subunit ribosomal RNA
Source: RNAcentral